AAUCGGAAACGUCCCCCCAAAUCAGCACGGUUCCCUUCGUCGUCUCGUACUGGAUUCAUCCGCACACCCGGCGGCCGGUGGCAGAGGCAUCUCCACGACCUGAGCAAGGAAAAUCCAGCUGAUAUAGAUUCUCCAAAUCCGACUGGUACGUGGUGGCAACAAUCCUGCAAGUUCAUCUAUUUUUUCUACCAGCCUGUUGACGCUGGAAUGCGUCACACGGACACGUCGAUAUGUACCCGCGGCACCGAGGAAGAUGCUCCGCAACUCACACUGCGGGAGGCCGACUUCCAACGCGAUACGCAAGACAGCAAGCCGGCGCUUUUGGGACCAGAUGCCCCGCUCGCCCGGGAGGGACCCCGUCAGGCCUCGCGGCGACGAUUGGCUGCUCGAGGUCGGUCUUACCGCCCCUAUAGCCUCGUGGAUUCGCAGCCUCCAAUCUUGAAGAACGACGAAGAACGCGAAGAAAGAUACAAGGGGAGAGAUAAAAGUAGGUGAACACGGAAAAGUAGUAGAUUGAUUGAUCGAUU
Triticum aestivum (bread wheat) is the source of this 527-nucleotide long non-coding RNA. RefSeq lists it as uncharacterized. The record is from RefSeq and is a predicted model, not a curated record. The transcript is spliced from 3 exons. Lineage: Eukaryota; Viridiplantae; Streptophyta; Magnoliopsida; Poales; Poaceae.